AACGAACGCUGGCGGCAUGCCUAACACAUGCAAGUCGAGCGGUAGAGAGGUGCUUGCAUCUCUUGAGAGCGGCGGACGGGUGAGUAAUGCCUAGGAAUCUGCCUAGUGUGGGGGAUAACGUUCGGAAACGGACGCUAAUACCGCAUACGUCCUACGGGAGAAAGCGGGGGAUCUUCGGACCUCGCGCCAUUAGAUGAGCCUAGGUCGGAUUAGCUAGUUGGUGAGGUAAUGGCUCACCAAGGCGACGAUCCGUAACUGGUCUGAGAGGAUGAUCAGUCACACUGGAACUGAGACACGGUCCAGACUCCUACGGGAGGCAGCAGUGGGGAAUAUUGGACAAUGGGCGAAAGACCUCGAUCCAGCCAUGCCGCGUGUGUGAAGAAGGUCUUCGGAUU
This 395-nucleotide ribosomal RNA is filed under the name uncultured bacterium. RNAcentral's name for it is "bacterial SSU rRNA". It matches the Rfam family "Bacterial small subunit ribosomal RNA", at positions 29 to 424 of the family's 1533-position model. The record is from RNAcentral.